This 407-nucleotide ribosomal RNA is filed under the name uncultured bacterium. RNAcentral describes it as "partial 16S ribosomal RNA". It matches the Rfam family "Bacterial small subunit ribosomal RNA", at positions 30 to 526 of the family's 1533-position model. The record is from RNAcentral.
AUUGAACGCUAGCGGGAUGCCUUACACAUGCAAGUCGAACGGAGUGGCGAACGGGUGAGUAAUGUAUCGGAACGUGCCCAGUAGCGGGGGAUAACUACGCGAAAGGGUAGCUAAUACCGCAUACUAUGGAGGCGGCGGAUCUCGGAUUAGCUAGUGGGUGGGGUAACGGCUCACAAAGGCGACGACCCGUAGCUGGUUUGAGAGGACGACCAGCCACACUGGGACUGAGACACGGCCCAGACUCCUACGGGAGGCAGCAGUGGGGAAUUUUGGACAAUGGGGGAAACCCUGAUCCAGCCAUCCCGCGUGUGCGAUGAAGGCCUUCGGGUUGUAAAGCACUUUUGGCAGGAAAGCGGUACCUGCAGAAUAAGCACCGGCUAACUACGUGCCAGCCGCCGCGGUAAUUC